AUUGAACGCUGGCGGCAGGCCUAACACAUGCAAGUCGAGCGGAAACGAUCCUAGCUUGCUAGGAGGCGUCGAGCGGCGGACGGGUGAGUAACGCGUGAGAAUCUGCCCAUUUGUGGGGGAUAACUCGGGGAAACUCGAGCUAAUACCGCAUAAUCCCUACGGGGGAAAGCAGGGGACCUUCGGGCCUUGUGCAGAUGGAUGAGCUCGCGUCGGAUUAGCUUGUUGGUGAGGUAAAAGCUCACCAAGGCGACGAUCCGUAGCUGGUCUGAGAGGAUGAUCAGCCACACCGGGACUGAGACACGGCCCGGACUCCUACGGGAGGCAGCAGUGGGGAAUCUUGGACAAUGGGGGCAACCCUGAUCCAGCCAUGCCGCGUGUGUGAAGAAGGCCUUCGGGUUGUAAAGCACUUUCAGUAGGGAGGAAGGCUUACCGCUAAUAAGUGGUGAGUACUUGACGUUACCUACAGAAGAAGCACCGCUAAUUU
RNAcentral lists this ribosomal RNA (484 nucleotides) under uncultured bacterium. RNAcentral's name for it is "bacterial SSU rRNA". It matches the Rfam family "Bacterial small subunit ribosomal RNA", at positions 30 to 503 of the family's 1533-position model. The record is from RNAcentral.